This 867-nucleotide ribosomal RNA is filed under the name Aeromonas hydrophila. RNAcentral describes it as "bacterial SSU rRNA". It matches the Rfam family "Bacterial small subunit ribosomal RNA", at positions 19 to 872 of the family's 1533-position model. Lineage: Bacteria; Pseudomonadati; Pseudomonadota; Gammaproteobacteria; Aeromonadales; Aeromonadaceae. The record is from RNAcentral.
CUGGCUCAGAUACAACGCUGGCGGCAGGCCUAACACAUGCAAGUCGAGCGGCAGCUGGAAAGUAGCUUUCUACUUUUGCACAGCGAGCGGCGGAGACAUGAGUAAUGCGUGGAAUAUUGCCCAGUCGAGGGGGAUAACAGUUGGAAACGACUGCUAAUACCGCAUACGCCUUAUGGGGGAAAGCAGGGGACCUUCGGGCCUUCCUCGAUUGGAUAUGCCCAGGUGGGAUUAGCUAGUUGGUGAGGUAAUGGCUCACCAAGGCGACGAUCCCUAGCUGGUCUGAGAGGAUGAUCAGCCACACUGGAACUGAGACAUGGUCCAGAUUCAUCCGGGAGGCAGCAGUGGGGAAUCUUGCACAAUGGGGGAAACCUUCACGCAGCCAUGCCGCGUGUGUGAAGAAGGCCUUUGGGUUGUAAAGCACUUUCAGAGAGGAGGAAAGGUUGAUGCGUAAUAGGUAUCAACCGUGACGUUACUCGCAGAAGAAGCACCGGCUAACUCCGUGCCAGCAGCCGCGGUAAUACGGAGGGUGCAAGUUUUAAUCGGAAUUACUGGGCGUAAAGCGCACGCAGGCGGUGGGUUAAGUUAGAUGUGAAAGCCCCGGGCUCAACCUGGGAAUUUCAUUUAAAACUGUCCUGGUAGAGUUUGGUAGAGGGGGGUUGAAUUCCAGGUGUAUCCCUGAAAUGCGUAGAGAUCUGGAGGAAUACCGGUGGGGAAGGCGGCCCCCUGGACAAAGACUGACGCUCAGGUCAGAAAGUGUGGGGAGCAAUCCGGAUUAGAUACCCAGUUAGUCCACCCUGUAAAAGAUGUCGAUUUGGUAGCCUGUGUCAAUGAGCAGUGGAUUCUGGAGCUAACGCGCGAAUCGACCGC